GCUGGGUAUGGUGGCUGUGCCUGUAUUCCUAACCACUUCAGGAGGCUGAGGCAGCAGGAUCAUUUGAGCCCACGAAUUUGAGGCCAACCUGGGCACUAUAGUGAGAGCUCAU
RNAcentral lists this small RNA (112 nucleotides) under Marmota monax (woodchuck). Lineage: Eukaryota; Metazoa; Chordata; Mammalia; Rodentia; Sciuridae. The record is from RNAcentral.